CGAGAGGCUUCUACAAUGGGGGAAACCCUGAUAGAGCGACGCCGCGUGGGUGAUGAAGGUCUUCGGAUCGUAAAGCCCUUUCAGUAGGGAAGAAGGUGACAGGCGCUAAUAUCGUCUGUUGCAAGACGGUACCUACAGAAGAAGCUCCGGCUAACUCCGUGCCAGCAGCCGCGGUAAGACGGAGGGAGCAAGCGUUGUUCGGAUUUACUGGGCGUAAAGGGCGUCUAGGCGGGCCAGCCAGUCAGGUGUGAAACCCCCCGGCUCAACCGGGGAUCUGCACUUGAUACUGCUGGUCUUGAGUACGAAAGAGGAAGGCGGAAUUCCUGGUGUAGCGGUGAAAUGCGUAGAUAUCAGGAAGAACACCGGUGGCGAAGGCGGCCUUCUGGUUCGAUACUGACGCUAAAGCGCGAAAGUGUGGGGAGCAAAC
This 427-nucleotide ribosomal RNA is filed under the name uncultured bacterium. RNAcentral's name for it is "bacterial SSU rRNA". It matches the Rfam family "Bacterial small subunit ribosomal RNA", at positions 356 to 773 of the family's 1533-position model. The record is from RNAcentral.